Molecule: long non-coding RNA, 351 nt
Organism: Canis lupus familiaris (dog)
Lineage: Eukaryota; Metazoa; Chordata; Mammalia; Carnivora; Canidae
Exons: 2
Source: RefSeq, a predicted model, not a curated record
GUGCGGUACACGCAGGGUCGCCUCGUUCAACGCGACACAACGGAGACCAGUCGCCGUCCAGUCUUGUGCUGCCCAUGGGACAGUUAUUUAUAAGUUACAGAAUAGAGGCUAAGUAAAUGUUUGCUUACAACCAUCCGAACAUUCCCUUCCUGCAACAGAAAUGAUGUCAAAAACAAGAGGACUAAAGCAACCCCACACUGAAAAUGCUUCAGACAAUAGAUGAACUCUGUGGAAUAAAAUAUACUUCGCUCUAUCCCAGAUGAUUGUUUUGUUUUGUUUUGUUUUUCUGUUUUUUUGUUUUACCAGAUGAUUGUUCUUAAGAGGAGUGUGAAUAAAGUCUCUGUAUACCUA